CCUACGGGUGGCUGCAGUGGGGGAUAUUGCACAAUGGGGGAAACCCUGAUGCAGCGACGCCGCGUGUGGGAAGACGGUCCUCUGGAUUGUACACCACUGUCCCCAGGGACGAAGAUGACGGUACCUGGGGAGGAAGCUCCGGCUAACUACGUGCCAGCAGCCGCGGUAAUAGGUAGGGAGCAAGCGUUGUCCGGAAUUACUGGGUGUAAAGGGAGCGUAGGCUGGAUGGCAAGUUGGGUGUUCAAUCUACCGGCUCAACUGGUAGUCGCACUCAAAACUGCUAUUCUUGAGUGAAGUAGAGGCAGGCGGAAUGCCUAGUGUAGCGGUGAAAUGCGUAGAGAUUAGGAGGAACACCAGUGGCGAAGGCGGCCUGCUGGGCUUUUACUGACGCUGAGGCUCGAAAGUGUGGGGAGCAAACAGGAUUAGAUACCCUAGUAGUC
Molecule: ribosomal RNA, 440 nt
Filed under: uncultured bacterium
Lineage: Bacteria
Description: partial 16S ribosomal RNA
Rfam family: Bacterial small subunit ribosomal RNA
Source: RNAcentral